AACUCAGCAGUUGACCACUCAGUUCAUGAGCCGAUGAAAAACACAGCUAACUGUGAGGAUUAACAUGAAUUGCAGGACACACUGAUCAUCAACACUUCAAACCAUACUUGCAGCCCUGUGUUCUUCCCAAAGACAUGCUAAUAAAAAAAUUC
Molecule: ribosomal RNA, 152 nt
Filed under: Myotis lucifugus (little brown bat)
Lineage: Eukaryota; Metazoa; Chordata; Mammalia; Chiroptera; Vespertilionidae
Description: 5.8S ribosomal RNA (ENSMLUG00000028159.1)
Source: RNAcentral